Molecule: ribosomal RNA, 494 nt
Filed under: uncultured bacterium
Lineage: Bacteria
Description: partial 16S ribosomal RNA
Rfam family: Bacterial small subunit ribosomal RNA
Source: RNAcentral
GACGAACGCUGGCGGCGUGCUUAACACAUGCAAGUCGAACGGAAAGGCCUGCUUUCCCUUGUGGAUUGCGGGUACUCGCGUGGCGAACGGGCGAGUAACACGUGAGUGAUCUGCCCCCAACUUGGGUAUAAGCCUGGGAAACUGGGUCAAAUUACCGAUAGGACUGCAGGGUGGUGCCUGUGGUGGAAAACGAUUUUUUAGUGGUUGGGGAUGAGCGCGCGGCCUAUCAGCUUGUUGGUGGGGUAAUGGCCAACCAAGGCGGCGACGGGUAGCCGGCCUGGGAGGGUGGACGGCCACAGUGGACCUGAGAUACGGCCCAGACUCCGACGGGAGGCAGCAGUGGGGAAGAUGGCACAGUGGGCGGAAGCCUGAAGCAGCGACGCCGCGGGGGGGAUGACGGCCUUCGGGUGGUAAACUCCUUUCGACCGCGAGGAAGCCACCUGGUUGGAAGGGUAGUGACGGUAGUGGGAGAAGAAGCACCGGCUAACUACGUG